RNAcentral lists this ribosomal RNA (301 nucleotides) under uncultured bacterium. Its description in RNAcentral is "partial 16S ribosomal RNA". It matches the Rfam family "Bacterial small subunit ribosomal RNA", at positions 509 to 807 of the family's 1533-position model. The record is from RNAcentral.
CAGUCGCCGCGGGAAUACGUAGGUGGCAAGCGUUGUCCGGAAUUAUUGGGCGUAAAGCGCGCGCAGGUGGUUUAAUAAGUCUGAUGUGAAAGCCCACGGCUCAACCGUGGAGGGUCAUUGGAAACUGUUAAACUUGAGUGCAGGAGAGAAAAGUGGAAUUCCUAGUGUAGCGGUGAAAUGCGUAGAGAUUAGGAGGAACACCAGUGGCGAAGGCGGUUUUUUGGCCUGUAACUGACACUGAGGCGCGAAAGCGUGGGGAGCAAACAGGAUUAGAUACCCGGGUAGUCCCUGUCUCUUAUAC